GAGCGUUUUUGAUAGCCUGAAGU
Molecule: non-coding RNA, 23 nt
Filed under: Arabidopsis thaliana (thale cress)
Lineage: Eukaryota; Viridiplantae; Streptophyta; Magnoliopsida; Brassicales; Brassicaceae
Source: RNAcentral